This is a non-coding RNA of Saimiri boliviensis boliviensis (Bolivian squirrel monkey), 2525 nucleotides long. Lineage: Eukaryota; Metazoa; Chordata; Mammalia; Primates; Cebidae. The record is from RefSeq and is a predicted model, not a curated record.
CAGCCUCCUGUUCUUGAUCCAGUUUCACAAAUGGAUCCUCCUCCUAUGCCAGGCCUUCCUGACUUCUCACUCUCUUGGCCACUCAUGCUAAUUCCAGGCCUCUAGGAGAAGAAGCCCCACACAGGCACUUAUGGGGCUCCUACUGGGUGCAUCCUCACAGCCAUCCUGCAGGGGAGGAAGCAGCAUCCCCAUUUUAUGGAUAAGGAGGGGGCUCACAGGUCCAAGGUCCCAUCACCAUUAAGCAGUGAGGCCACAUGUAGCUGAUUUCAGAGAUUUACUCACUAUGCCUGGCCCCUCUCAAAUGUUGGCUUCUAGUCCAGUAAAUUAGUCCACAAAAGUUAUCCACAAAUAGUUACUGAGCACAUAUGAUUGCACCCAGCUAGCCUCUGACACAACCCCCUGGAGAAGGGCCAUCCCAGGAUUAAGAAACCAGCUUUCCCCACACGGGACCACGCAUCAGCAUAACACAGGUGCUGGGUCUGGGGUGGCAAUAGCAAUGGAAUGGAAGCUUCACUAAGGACGAACAGCAGCAUCUGCUUUACAGAGGCAGGCCUGAAGAUCAGGCAGGAAGGGAGAAAGGAGAAAGAAGGUGAAGUCUCUUGUUUGACAAUAGGAAACCACUCCCUUGAGCGUCUGGACCUGAUUCCUGGCUUUGGGGUCAGGCAGACCUUAGGUCCCUACCUAUCCUUUCCAAGCUGUGUGACUUCGCCUGCCUGAGCCUCAGUUCCUCUCAUGUAGAGUAAAGAUAAUAAUGGUGCUCCUUCCUCUGGCUGUUGGAUGGCUAUUCUAAGCUGCUCAACUCAUUCCCCCUCUCAGUCCCAGAGCCUAGCACCUGGGAUGGCAUUAACCUUCCAGGAGUUGAUGAUGCACCUGCUGGCACCAGGGUGUCUGGUGGACCUGGCUGCUGCUCGAGGAGGGACUUGUUUCCUCCUUUGACUCCCACUGGACCCAUGAAAUUGGGCUAUAGGCUGAGCUGGUGAGGCAAGGACAGAAGGCAAGGACUGAGCUGGUAGUCAGGCUCCUGGGAGCCAGGUGGCCCCAGGAACUGACCAUGCAGGCCCCAGUCCCCACGCUCUUUGUAACUUCCUCUCACUACCCAGGACCACAUGAAAGGAAGCACCAGGAAGACAGAGCUUUGGAUUGCUCGGCUCAUUGAUCCAUCACGGCACCUGGAACGGAGUCUGACAAAGAUGAGGUGCUUUGUCCACAUUCAUGAAUGAAUAUGAGCCUAACCCUGGUGGAAAAGGGGCUGUUUGCACUUGAGGUUGCUGAAGCCGGGUGCUCAGAAACAAAUGCCUUCAGAGGCCAGGCAGGUGACGGAAAUGUGGAUGGGCACAGGUGUUGACCAGGAUGGAUGUGUGGGGACUAGGGGCAAACGGAGAGGGCUUUUUGCACCUAAAGACAUUCAAACUGCAAAAACUAAGCUCCACUUCUGCAGCUAAUGAGAGGCCAUCUGAGGGCCAUGUCCAUCUGAAGGUCCCAUCCUACUCAGGGCCUCCCAGUCAUGAUUCCUGAGUCCUUCUCCCUGCAAGCCUAGUGAGGCCGGCCAGGGUACUGCUUUCAUGUGUGGGAUGGGGACAUCAGGCCCCAGGUCAGCUCCAGCCCCAUCUGCAUCAUUCAUGCUCCCUAAGAGACUGGCAUCCCAACUCUUCAAAGGAAGCAGAGUCCCUUCCCUACUGCUGUUGCUGCCUUCAUAGCCUCACCUGGGUUCCUGGCGCUGGCACCUGGCAACCUUAUGCCCCCAGGACCAACCCCCAGGCCUUCACAUAUGCACACAGACACAGGGCAUGCCUGUGUGCACCCAAGCACCUGCCCCCCAAAGGCAUACUCAGGUGCUUUGGGGCACCUUCUGCUCUAUUCAGAGAUCCCCUUCUCGAGGAAGUCCUCCAUGAUUACACUCCCUCAUUUUGCAUGCUAGAUCUGCCCCUCCCUCUCUCCAGACCUUCAUCACACCUCACACUGACCUGUGGCAUCCUCUCCCCUGGGGACAGGAACUGUAUAUGGUUCUGAUGGGGAGGAACUGUAUGUGACUCACCUCUGUGCUCCCAGCACAGGCUUAACACAGAGCAGGUGCCAAGUGUUUAUGGAGUGCACAGGAGAAAGUUACGCAGCAUCACAGAUAUUAGGCUUCCUAGGAUCAAAUCCCUGUAUGGCUACCUACUUGCUGUAUGACUUGCAAACCUCUUUGUCCUCAGUUUCCCCACACAAUAUAGGGAUAAUAAUAGUGUCAGCUGGAUGCGGUGUCUCACACCUGUAAUCUUAGCUCUUUGGGAGGCAAAGGUGGGCAGAUCACCCGAGAUCAAGUGUUGGAGACCAGCCUGGCCAACAUGGUGAAAUCCCAUUUCUACUAAAAAUACCAAAAUUAGCUGGGCUUGGUGGUGCAUGCCUGUAAUCCCGGCUGCUUGGGAGACUAAGGCAGGAGAAUCGCUUAAAUUGGGGAGGCGGAGGUUGCAGUGAGCCAAGAUCAUGCCAUUGCACUCCAGCCUGGGCGACAAGAGCAAGACUCUGUCUCAAUCAAUCAAUCA